Long non-coding RNA from Rhineura floridana, 928 nucleotides. RefSeq lists it as uncharacterized. The transcript has 3 exons. The record is from RefSeq and is a predicted model, not a curated record. NCBI's taxonomy places the organism in Eukaryota, Metazoa, Chordata, Lepidosauria, Squamata, Rhineuridae.
CCUAAGAAGGGAGAACGGGCCGGCCCAUCAACACUUCACAUCUGGGCAGCAGACUAAACAGGGCACACAGAUCACCCUGUCACAGCUUUCCCCACUAUGACUUAAUCCCUGGAUAUAGAUCUGCAUCUCCAACCUGAAUACUGAGUUUACAAAAGGAACAUGCUGAUCAGAGAUAAGGCAAGAGGUUGCCUCAGUAUCAUGGAUCUCAUCAUCUGUCUAUGAAGGUGAAGAACCCUUAGUGGGAGGGCCAGCCCUACCAUUAGUCAGAGUGAGGAAAUUGCCCAAGGCUGAAAUUGUCAGAAGGCACUUCCAGCCAUUCUUCCUGAUUUCCCUGGCCAUUCCCAUCAGUUAGAGAUCAGAAGAGCUGUGUAUCACAAGCCUUUCAAGUGUCCCCUAAACUAGCUUGGUGGCCUUAGGAGGACACUAUCCUAUUGACCUUGUUGAAGUAAAAUUUAAUUGCCAGUCCUUUCAGCUUCUGUACAUGGAAUAGGGAGCCUGGCGCCAUCUUUUCCUUUGUCUUCAGCGGCAAAAUGUCUUGGGCUAGCCCUGCUUGGUGGAAAAAGUGAGUACUUAAUGAAAAUUGCUUCAUGGUAAAACAAAGGCUGUGGCUAGCUGUACUUCCAGACUACGGCAAACACCACCAACCUCAGUUAUUUGAAAGAUGAACUGAAAGGCUCAUUACUUAUCAAACUGUCAAACUUUACUUCAGCCACCACAUCUAUCAUUUCAUAACUCUGACACAAACUUAAAAUGAAGCAGUGGACUCAUCAAAAUAUCAGGCUUCAUCCACUGACAUCCAUUAACAUCGGGCACUGCGAUCCACACCUGUCAGAUGGGAAAUUGAUGGAGCUCCUCAACCCUUGUCCUCAAACCAUGACCUGUGUCCAAAGCACUUUAAUCUCCAUUCCCCCACCCCACCCCCACCCCA